This 274-nucleotide ribosomal RNA is filed under the name uncultured bacterium. Its description in RNAcentral is "partial 16S ribosomal RNA". It matches the Rfam family "Bacterial small subunit ribosomal RNA", at positions 523 to 796 of the family's 1533-position model. The record is from RNAcentral.
AUACGGAGGGGGCUAGCGUUGUUCGGAAUUACUGGGCGUAAAGCGCGCGUAGGCGGGCUGGUCAGUUGGUGGUGAAAUCCCAGGGCUCAACCCUGGAACUGCCUUCAAUACUGCCAGUCUUGAGUCCGGGAGAGGUGAGUGGAAUUCCUAGUGUAGAGGUGAAAUUCGUAGAUAUUAGGAGGAACACCAGUGGCGAAGGCGGCUCACUGGCCCGGUACUGACGCUGAGGUGCGAAAGCGUGGGGAGCAAACAGGAUUAGAAACCCGAGUAGUCC